Molecule: long non-coding RNA, 1380 nt
Organism: Papaver somniferum (opium poppy)
Lineage: Eukaryota; Viridiplantae; Streptophyta; Magnoliopsida; Ranunculales; Papaveraceae
Exons: 7
Source: RefSeq, a predicted model, not a curated record
CAUAUAAUUCCUCUUUUAACCUUCCACCACCGUCAUUCUUCUUUAAUCCACAAAUCUCAGAAAAAUGCUUCAUCUCUCCUACCACCACCAUCCGCAUCGCUCCCACCACCAUUGCCAUCCCAAUCGCCGCCACCAUAACCAGUACCACCACCUCCGUGACCUCCGCCACUACUUUCAGCAGAUUUGUUACAUUUUAUAGAUCUACAAAAUUUAUGAUACGGUUUGAAAUAGAAUUUUGAAGAUAUGAAAGAUUAAUAUUAAUCGACACGAAGAUUAAAUCAAAAGAGGGCAGUCUGCUGUCAAGAAAUGGUGAAAGUUUUGGGGGUGCGGAAGUUACGGUGAUGAGCCAGUGGAAGCCCUAGCUGUACAGAGACCUGCCGGAGCCGGGAAGGCUACUUCAAUGGAACAACAGACAAAAACUAGUUGCUUCAGGCGCACUUGGUUACAGACCCCAAAUGACGAUACAACUAGCAGAGUGUUUGUAACUCAAGGCUUUAUCUGUUGUUUCCGUAUUGAGUUCGAGUUUUGUUUUUAUUUUUUAGAAUUUGUUUUGUCGGGUAAAAAUGGUUGUCGCAGAGAUUAUCUUUUGCAUCUUAAGAAUCUCUCAUGCCAUUUCUGAUUCAACUACCGUUAGGGAGAUGCAAAGUGUUGAGUUUGUUUUGUCGUGAAUUGCGUACUACCAAAACAAAUAUAGCGUUUGUGUAUUUUUAUUAAUUUAAUUACGCCACAUUGCUUUCAGGUAGCUAAAUUUUUUCUUCUUAAAAUGAUGAAGUUCUUGCUUUGUUUUACUGAAGUAAAGGGCUCUACUUUUUUUCCCAGGGGUUCUGUAACUCACAGAAGGUACUUCUAGGGUUCUGUUUUCGCUGCUUCCACUGAAUGCAGCAUGUGAUUUUGCUCCAUUUUGUUCAAGAUUUUGGGGACAACUUGAGAAAGUUGCUUUCACUUUUGGAGGCAACUUGAGCUUGUUGAUUCCAGAUUCGGAGGCAAACAUGGUGGUUACAGAGUUUUGCUUUGCAACCUAAGCAUCUCCUAUCCUGUUUCGGCAUGAACUACAGUUAACGAGAUGAAAAGCGUUGUAGAAGAUACUUGGAGUUAUCAUCUUGAAGACCUCAUUCAUUUUUCUUAUAGUGUUGAUGAAGCUUUGCAUCAUUUACUCAUAUUUUGACUUAAAAUUUUUAACUCAUCGUUAAACUCGUUUAGACUCGAUGCAUUGAAGUUCUGAAUUUAGUUUAAUGUUAAUUCAUUGCUUCUUCAUCUGGUGUUUGUUCUUCGUCAUCUAGCUGUGUUUUAAAUGUCGAAGUAUUUGUGAUGUAGAAGAAUUGGAUGAUAAUAUAAGUGUUGUAGAAGAAUUAUUUAACAGAUGAUCUUAGAGUUUCUAAA